This 467-nucleotide ribosomal RNA is filed under the name uncultured bacterium. Its description in RNAcentral is "bacterial SSU rRNA". It matches the Rfam family "Bacterial small subunit ribosomal RNA", at positions 340 to 790 of the family's 1533-position model. The record is from RNAcentral.
UACGGAAGGCAGCAGUGGGGAAUAUUGGACAAUGGGCGGAAGCCUGAUCCAGCCAUGCCGCGUGUGUGAAGAAGGCCUUUUGGUUGUAAAGCACUUUAAGCGAGGAGGAGGCUCUCCUAGUUAAUACCUAGGAAGAGUGGACGUUACUCGCAGAAUAAGCACCGGCUAACUCUGUGCCAGCAGCCGCGGUAAUACAGAGGGUGCGAGCGUUAAUCGGAUUUACUGGGCGUAAAGCGUGCGUAGGCGGCUGAUUAAGUCGGAUGUGAAAUCCCUGAGCUUAACUUAGGAAUUGCAUUCGAUACUGGUCAGCUAGAGUAUGGGAGAGGAUGGUAGAAUUCCAGGUGUAGCGGUGAAAUGCGUAGAGAUCUGGAGGAAUACCGAUGGGCGAAGGGCAGCCAUCUGGGCCUAAUACUGACGCUGAGGUACGAAAGCAUGGGGAAGGCAAACAGGGAUUAGGAAUAACCCGU